RNAcentral lists this ribosomal RNA (255 nucleotides) under Limosilactobacillus reuteri. RNAcentral describes it as "Lactobacillus reuteri partial 16S ribosomal RNA". It matches the Rfam family "Bacterial small subunit ribosomal RNA", at positions 1 to 218 of the family's 1533-position model. Lineage: Bacteria; Bacillati; Bacillota; Bacilli; Lactobacillales; Lactobacillaceae. The record is from RNAcentral.
UUUAUAUGAGAGUUUGAUCCUGGCUCAGGAUGAACGCCGGCGGUGUGCCUAAUACAUGCAAGUCGUACGCACUGGCCCAACUAAUUGAUGGUGCUUGCACCUGAUUGACGAUGGAUCACCAGUGAGUGGCGGACGGGUGAGUAACACGUAGGUAACCUGCCCCGGAGCGGGGGAUAACAUUUGGAAACAGAUGCUAAUACCGCAUAACAACAAAAGCCGCAUGGCUUUUGUUUGAAAGAUGGCUUUGGCUAUCAC